Molecule: transfer RNA, 87 nt
Filed under: Caudoviricetes sp.
Lineage: Duplodnaviria; Heunggongvirae; Uroviricota; Caudoviricetes
Description: tRNA-Ser
Source: RNAcentral
GGGGAGUUGGGAUAGUUGGUAUUCCAGAGGACUGCUACUCCUUCCUACCUGUAAAAGGUAGCACACGUUCGAGUCGUGUACUCCCCG